GUGGGGAAUAUUGGACAAUGGGCGAAAGCCUGAUCUAGCCAUGCCGCGUGAGCGAUGAAGGCCUUAGGGUUGUAAAGCUCUUUCGCUGGGGAAGAUAAUGACUGUACCCAGUAAAGAAGCCCCGGCUAACUCCGUGCCAGCAGCCGCGGUAAUACGGAGGGGGCUAGCGUUGUUCGGAAUUACUGGGCGGAAAGCGCGCGUAGGCGGAUUGGAAAGUUGGGGGUGAAAUCCCGGGGCUCAACCUCGGAACUGCCUUCAAAACUCCCAGUCUUGAGUUCGAGAGAGGUGAGUGGAAUUCCGAGUGUAGAGGUGAAAUUCGUAGAUAUUCGGAGGAACACCAGUGGCGAAGGCGGCUCACUGGCUCGAUACUGACGCUGAGGUGCGAAAGCGUGGGGAGCAAACAGGAUUAGAUACCCCAGUAGUCC
Molecule: ribosomal RNA, 425 nt
Filed under: uncultured bacterium
Lineage: Bacteria
Description: partial 16S ribosomal RNA
Rfam family: Bacterial small subunit ribosomal RNA
Source: RNAcentral